This 254-nucleotide ribosomal RNA is filed under the name uncultured bacterium. RNAcentral describes it as "partial 16S ribosomal RNA". It matches the Rfam family "Bacterial small subunit ribosomal RNA", at positions 524 to 776 of the family's 1533-position model. The record is from RNAcentral.
UACGAAGGGGGCUAGCGUUGCUCGGAAUCACUGGGCGUAAAGCGCACGUAGGCGGGUUCUUAAGUCAGGGGUGAAAUCCUGGAGCUCAACUCCAGAACUGCCCUUGAUACUGGGAAGCUUGGAGUCCGGGAGAGGUGAGUGGAACUGCGAGUGUAGAGGUGAAAUUCGUAGAUAUUCGCAAGAACACCAGUGGCGAAGGCGGCUCACUGGCCCGGUACUGACGCUGAGGUGCGAAAGCGUGGGGAGCAAACAGG